Long non-coding RNA from Ochotona curzoniae (black-lipped pika), 1588 nucleotides. RefSeq lists it as uncharacterized. The record is from RefSeq and is a predicted model, not a curated record. NCBI's taxonomy places the organism in Eukaryota, Metazoa, Chordata, Mammalia, Lagomorpha, Ochotonidae. The transcript has 6 exons.
AAUGAUGCCUUAGGUCUGCUCCAUUUGCUUUCUCUGAUUUCCCUCUGACUCUGCAGGCUUCCUACUCGCCCAGUCUUGCCAGAGUUCCUUAUUCCCUGGAGAGAUGAAUGAAGGUGUUCAGGCCCAUGUGAGAGGCAACGUGUGAACUGUCACAGCAGGACUAUGCACCCGCAUGGCCUGUCUUCAUUGCAACACAGCUUCCUGUUACCGCACCUGAGGAGGCUGCAGAUGCUGUUCCAAGUGAUUGGGCUACCGACACCCCUGAAGAGACCUGGCUCGUGGCUUUAACCUGGUCCAGAUAUGGCUACAGGGCCACUUGGGGAAUGAAGCAGCAGGUGCAUGAGCAGGAAACUGGACUGGAUGUGGCGCAGCCCGGCCUUGCACCUGUGCUCAUGUACCAGCUGCUGGCAUCACCGUCAGCCCAUUGUGCCGUCACACUGUCACCUGCAUCUGCAUUUUCAAAGAUGAUGUAUUUGCGAUAGACAAAAAGUGCUAACUAUCCAGAUGCCCAUCCUGUGUGGAGCAAAGAAACAGAAUGCAGUUUGUCCACAUGGUGAAAUGGGGUGCGGCAAAGUAAACGAAGGGCUGACACCUGCUACAACUGGAGCCUUGAAAACAUGGUGAGUGAGUCAAGCAGGUUACCAAAAAACAUGGACCAUCUGUAUUUUGAAAAAAUUGUGUGUCGAUGUAGAACUUUCAUUUUCACAUCCAAAUAAAUGUGUCUUUUAAUUAUUUUUGCAUGAAAUUUUUGAAAUAAGCUGAUAUAACAAGUUAUUGAACUGUGCAUUUUAAAGAGAUGCAUUUUAAGGUGUGUAAAUAUCUAAACUAGAAGCUGGUUUUUUUUUUUAAUGCACCUUAGGAUAUGCAUUUUCAUCCUGUUGAAAAGGGUAAAUGAACAGUGAAGUGGAAUUCUUCCAGAGAAAAACGGCAGCAGAAGCUAAGAGGGCCACGCGUUCUUCCACCCGUCUCUUCAACAAAAGCUGAGUGUCAAUGCAAUGCUGGCCAACGGUGCCCCCUGCAGUUGUGCAACAUGGUGGCCCAGAUGUCCCCGCCCUCAUGAAAUGCACAAAGUGGGUAAAAGGAGACGUUGAUCCAAAAGGUGACAUGCAGAAGACACUGUUUGGGGUGGCCAGAAGACUCCAGGAAGUACUUGGAGGAGGCAGCCACUUCCCUGACCCUCAUACUCUCUCUUCCAGGCAGAGAGUAAAGAAAGAAGAUAAAACUAAACCAAGAAAUGAACAUUUAGAUGAAGCCAAACUUGGGCAAGACCAGCCUUGCAGCUGUCUCAAGCGUGACCUGGAGUUAAAAGUGUUGGGCCUAGUGGUUAAGACAGUCCUCAAGUCUCCCACUUCCCUCAUUCAAGUGCCUGGGUUCUAUCCCCAGCUCUGGCUUCCUGCUGAUGGGUACCCUGGACGGCAGCUCAAGCCGCUGGGUCUUUGCCACUUAUAUGGGAGACCCGGUUCAGUUCUGCUCCUGACUCCCAGCUUCUGCCUGUCUCAACCUUGGCCAUCAAAAGCAGUGAGGAGGUGAGCCGGGGGAUGGGAGUCAAGCCCUGGAGGUAACUAUGGUGAACUGUGCAGGUCCACAU